UUUAAUUUAAGUCUUCCCAGAGAAAUGAAAUUUUGCUAUAGACUUCACUAUCUAAGCUUCAAAAAUAUCCCAGAGUUCCACAGUAACUAAACAUUUCAGCGCCCGCGUCUUGAGGACUUGAGAGAAAUCACUUCAAGACCGGCUAUACUAAAGAAAGGGAGAUUAAGGUUGAAGGUAAUCCCUACCCAAGGCAAAACUAUCUGGUCCAGUGAAUAAGAAAG
This 221-nucleotide unclassified non-coding RNA is filed under the name Hevea brasiliensis (rubber tree). Lineage: Eukaryota; Viridiplantae; Streptophyta; Magnoliopsida; Malpighiales; Euphorbiaceae. The record is from RNAcentral.